UAUUAUUAUUUGCUCUAAUUCAUCUUUUAAGCAGUUGAUGAAAAAAAAAAAAAACCUUUAUGAAAGACACAUAAUUCUUACCCAUCCAGAAUUAAAAAGGCUCUUGGAAACAGAAACAGGAAAAUGAAGAUGUGAUUGCUAGCACCUUUGAGAAAACAACAAGAUUUGGGCAAAAAAGCAUUGAUAACUGUGUUUUCAGCAAGGAAAUGAAGAUUUCAGAAGGGGAGAUGUUAGAGGUUUAAUAGCCUUCAAAAUAAGCUGAAAGGUACCACUGCCUUGAGGCUCAAGUGAAAGUCGCUGAUUUUAGCUAAGUUGGUACGCUGUCCAUUUACCUUCUCAUGGCUAUGUAUGCAAUGAGGGCUUUUGCAUUGCUGUUGGAGCAGAAAAGAUGGAAAAAAGAAUGGACUAGUGAAAUUUUCAUCAUCUUGUACGGUAAUAAAAGAACAGUGCAGGUGUGUUCUUAAAUUUGACAAGGAAAAAUAUCAGCACAAAAAAUG
RNAcentral lists this long non-coding RNA (497 nucleotides) under Dromaius novaehollandiae (emu). RNAcentral's name for it is "lncRNA (ENSDNVG00000016846.1)". The record is from RNAcentral. Lineage: Eukaryota; Metazoa; Chordata; Aves; Casuariiformes; Dromaiidae.